Molecule: ribosomal RNA, 468 nt
Filed under: Triticum aestivum (bread wheat)
Lineage: Eukaryota; Viridiplantae; Streptophyta; Magnoliopsida; Poales; Poaceae
Description: partial small subunit ribosomal RNA
Source: RNAcentral
AUGUUCAGCCCCAACACUUGUGAUACUGUCAGAAAUCCUGUUGUCAGUACGUUGGGAAUACUUAGAAAAAAUUGGAAUGAGAAAUACCUAGGCCAGCCUGUCCAUGUGGGUCGCUCUAAAAGGAGGGCUUUCAACUAUAUCAAACGCAACAUGUGUGGCUGUGUGUAUGGUUGGCAGGAGAAACUUCUUGCUAAGGAGAGUAAGGACGUUUUGGUGAAGGCCGUGAAACAAGCCACUCCCACAUUUGCUAUGUCGUGCUUCGACCUAGCAAAAACAUUUUGUGCAGAAGAAAACACUCUCCUUGGUAAGUUUUGGUGGAGCCAACAAGACAAGCAAAAUGCAAUGCAUUGGAUUAGCCGGGGAAGUUAUAGCAACACAAGGAGAUGGGUGAAUUGGGAUUUCGGGAUAUUCGUAUGUUUAACUUGUCCAUGUAGUCGAGGCAACGAUGGAGGCUCCUUCAAAAUCUAA